This 255-nucleotide ribosomal RNA is filed under the name uncultured bacterium. RNAcentral's name for it is "partial 16S ribosomal RNA". It matches the Rfam family "Bacterial small subunit ribosomal RNA", at positions 793 to 1055 of the family's 1533-position model. The record is from RNAcentral.
GUCCACGCCGUAAACGAUGGAUACUAGCUGUUGGGCGCAAGUUCAGUGGCUAAGCGAAAGUGAUAAGUAUCCCACCUGGGGAGUACGUUCGCAAGAAUGAAACUCAAAGGAAUUGACGGGGCCCGCACAAGCGGUGGAGCAUGUGGUUUAAUUCGAUGAUACGCGAGGAACCUUACCAAGGCUUAAAUAGUAUUUUGACCGAUUUGGUAAACAGAUCUUUCGCAAGACAAUUACAAGGUGCUGCAUGGUUGUCGU